AUAUCCAUUAUGGAAAAUUCAACAUUAAUAUUAUAAUAUUUAUUUAUAAAUAUUAUAAAAAUAGUGUGCAAUUUUUCCAUAUAAGGACAUUGUAAUCUGUUAAUGUAAUAAAUAUUUAUCAUAAGAUUCAGUAUAUAAAAGUUUAUUCAAAUUAGUUAUUUUCCGAUUUCUAACAUAGAAUAAAUUUAAUUGAAUUUGAUAAAUCAUUGACAGAUUUAUUUAUAUAUAGUGCUUAAAUUCUUAAUUGAAUUUUACAAUAAUUUAUAAAUGUAUUUUCAUUUAUUUAUUUAUUGUAUGCACUUAUAUGAUUAACAAUGCUAUAGAUUCAGGAUACCUUCGGGACCCGUCUUGAAACACGGACCAAGGAGUCUAACAUAUGUGCAAGUCAUUGGGUAUUUUUAAUAAAACCCAAAGGCAUAAUUAACUUAACUGUUUUUUUAUAUGGGAUUAGUUUAUAUUUUAUUAUGAAAUAUUUAUUCAAUCCCGGGGCGUUCUAUAUAGUUAUGUAUAAUAAUAUUUAUAUUAUUUAUGCCUCUAACUAGAGCGUACCUUGAGCAUAUAUGCUGUGACC
RNAcentral lists this ribosomal RNA (571 nucleotides) under Merodon trochantericus. RNAcentral describes it as "partial large subunit ribosomal RNA". The record is from RNAcentral. Lineage: Eukaryota; Metazoa; Arthropoda; Insecta; Diptera; Syrphidae.